This is a transfer RNA of Phytophthora infestans T30-4, 72 nucleotides long. It matches the Rfam family "tRNA". Rfam says of the family: Transfer RNA (tRNA) molecules are approximately 80 nucleotides in length. Their secondary structure includes four short double-helical elements and three loops (D, anti-codon, and T loops). NCBI's taxonomy places the organism in Eukaryota, Oomycota, Peronosporomycetes, Peronosporales, Peronosporaceae. The record is from Rfam.
GCCACUAUAGCUCAGUGAUAGAGCACCAUCUUAGUAAGCGGAAGGUCGGUAGGUCGAUCCUGCCUGGGGGUA